AUCUUUCUGGUUCAUGCAAGUGAUGAUUGGUGUGUUCACGGUUACUACGUGAGAGGUACUGGCCUGAUCUUGUUACGCAUUGUGCCUUAAACCAUCUGACC
Phyllopteryx taeniolatus (common seadragon) is the source of this 101-nucleotide small nucleolar RNA. RefSeq annotates it as small nucleolar RNA U13. The record is from RefSeq and is a predicted model, not a curated record. The transcript has a single exon. Lineage: Eukaryota; Metazoa; Chordata; Actinopteri; Syngnathiformes; Syngnathidae.